This 1422-nucleotide ribosomal RNA is filed under the name uncultured bacterium. RNAcentral describes it as "bacterial SSU rRNA". It matches the Rfam family "Bacterial small subunit ribosomal RNA". The record is from RNAcentral.
GAUGAACGCUGGCGGCGUGCUUAAUACAUGCAAGUCGAACGAAGCUCCGUCCUUGUCUUCGGAUCCAGGAGACUUAGUGGCGAACGGGUGAGUAACGCGUUGGUAACCUGCCCCCAAGUGGGGGAUAGCCUUGCGAAAGGACUGCUAAUACCCGAUGUGGUCAUCAGGGUUAGAUACCUUAUGAUUAAAGGAGUAAUUGCCGCUUGGGGAGGGGCCUGCGUCCCAUCAGCUAGUUGGUAGGGUAAUGGCCUACCAAGGCUAUUGACGGGUAGGGGACCUGAGAGGGUGGCCCCCCACACUGGCACUGAAACACUGGCCAGACACCUACGGGUGGCAGCAGUGGGGAAUAUUGGACAAUGGGCGAAAGCCUGAUCCAGCAACGCCGCGUGGGCGAUGACGGCCUUCGGGUUGUAAAGCCCUUUUAAGGGAGAUGAGAAAGGACAGUAUCCCUUGAAUAAGCCUCGGCGAACUACGUGCCAGCAGCCGCGGUAAAACGUAGGAGGCAAGCGUUAUCCGGAUUUAUUGGGCGUAAAGCGCGUGCAGGCUGCUUGGAAAGUUGGAUGUGAAAGCUCCUGGCUUAACUGGGAGAGGUCGUUCAAAACUACCAAGCUAGAGAAUGGGAGAGGGAAAUGGAAUUCCGGGUGUAGUGGUGAAAUGCGUAGAUAUCCGGAGGAACACCAGUGGCGAAAGCGGCUUCCUAGACCAUUUCUGACGCUUAGACGCGAAAGCUAGGGGAGCGAACGGGAUUAGAGACCCCGGUAGUCCUAGCUGUAAACGAUGUAGACUUGGCGUUGGCGGAGUUAAAUCUGCCAGUGCCGGAGCUAACGCGUUAAGUCUACCGCCUGGGGACUACGACCGCAAGGUUAAAACUCAAAGGAAUUGACGGGGACCCGCACAAGCAGCGGAGCGUGUGGUUUAAUUCGAUGCUACACGAAGAACCUUACCAGGGUUUGACAUGCAAGUGGUAGGAAUCUGAAAAGGGACCGACCCUUCGGGGAGCUUGCACAGGUGCUGCAUGGCUGUCGUCAGCUCGUGUCGUGAGAUGUUCGGUUAAGUCCGCUAACGAGCGCAACCCUCACUGUGUGUUAUAUGUGUCACACGGGACUGCCGGUUUUAAGCCGGAGGAAGGUGGGGAUGACGUCAAGUCAGCAUGGCCUUUAUAUCCUGGGCUACACACACGCUACAAUGGUCGGUACAAUAGGUUGCCAAGCCGCGAGGCGGAGCCAAUCCACAAAGCCGGCCUCAGUUCAGAUUGUAGGCUGCAACUCGCCUGCAUGAAGAUGGAGUUGCUAGUAACCGCAGGUCAGCAAUACUGCGGUGAAUACGUUCCCGGGUCUUGUACACACCGCCCGUCACGUCAUGGAAGCUGGCAACACCUGAAGCCGGUAUCCUAACCGCAAGGAAGGAGCCGUCGAAGGUGGG